RNAcentral lists this ribosomal RNA (512 nucleotides) under uncultured bacterium. RNAcentral describes it as "partial 16S ribosomal RNA". It matches the Rfam family "Bacterial small subunit ribosomal RNA", at positions 28 to 507 of the family's 1533-position model. The record is from RNAcentral.
GAUGAACGCUGGCGGCGUGCCUAAUACAUGCAAGUCGAACGAAACUUCUUUAUCACCGAGUGCUUGCACUCACCGAUAAAGAGUUGAGUGGCGAACGGGUGAGUAACACGUGGGCAACCUGCCCAAAAGAGGGGGAUAACACUUGGAAACAGGUGCUAAUACCGCAUAACCAUAGUUACCGCAUGGUAACUAUGUAAAAGGUGGCUAUACUACCGCUUUUGGAUGGGCCCGCGGCGCAUUAGCUAGUUGGUAGGGUAAAGGCUUACCAAGGCAAUGAUGCGUAGCCGAAAUGAGAGGUUGAUCGGCCACAUUGGGACUGAGACACGGCCCAAACUCCUACGGGAGGCAGCAGUAGGGAAUCUUCCACAAUGGGCGAAAGCCUGAUGGAGCAACGCCGCGUGGGUGAAGAAGGUCUUCGGAUCGUAAAACCCUGUUGUUAGAGAAGAAAGUGCGUGAGAGUAACUGUCCACGUUUCGACGGUACCUAACCAGAAAGCCACUGCUAACUACGUG